This 542-nucleotide ribosomal RNA is filed under the name uncultured bacterium. RNAcentral's name for it is "bacterial SSU rRNA". It matches the Rfam family "Bacterial small subunit ribosomal RNA", at positions 777 to 1320 of the family's 1533-position model. The record is from RNAcentral.
AAUAGAUACCCGGGUAGUCCACGCCGUAAACGAUGAGUGCUAAGUGUUAGGGGUUCCGCCCCUUAGUGCUGCAGCUAACGCAUUAAGCACUCCGCCUGGGGAGUACGGUCGCAAGACUGAAACUCAAAGGAAUUGACGGGGGCCCGCACAAGCGGUGGAGCAUGUGGUUUAAUUCGAAGCAACGCGAAGAACCUUACCAGGUCUUGACAUCCCAUUGACCACUAUGGAGACAUAGUUUUCCCUUCGGGGACAACGGUGACAGGUGGUGCAUGGUUGUCGUCAGCUCGUGUCGUGAGAUGUUGGGUUAAGUCCCGCAACGAGCGCAACCCUUGUUCUUAGUUGCCAUCAUUUAGUUGGGCACUCUAAGGAGACUGCCGGUGACAAACCGGAGGAAGGUGGGGAUGACGUCAAAUCAUCAUGCCCCUUAUGACCUGGGCUACACACGUGCUACAAUGGACGGUACAAACGGUUGCCAACCCGCGAGGGGAGCUAAUCCGAUAAAACCGUUCUCAGUUCGGAUUGUAGGCUGCAACUCGCCUACA